RNAcentral lists this ribosomal RNA (406 nucleotides) under uncultured eukaryote. RNAcentral describes it as "bacterial SSU rRNA". It matches the Rfam family "Bacterial small subunit ribosomal RNA", at positions 367 to 789 of the family's 1533-position model. The record is from RNAcentral.
GGUCACGCGGCGAGCCUGACGGAGCAUACCGCGUGAGGGACGAAAGCCUUUGGGUUGUAAACCUCUUUUUUCAGGGAGGAAGUUCUGACGUGUACCUGAAGAAUAAGCAUCGGCUAACUCCGUGCCAGCAGCCGCGGUAAGACGGAGGAUGCAAGUGUUAUCCGGAAUUAUUGGGCGUAAAGCGUCUGUAGGUGGCUUAUUAAGUCUACUGUUAAAUAUUAAAGCUUAACUUUAAACUUGCAGUGGAAACUGAUAAGCUUGAGUACGGUCGAAGUAAAAGGAAUUUCCAGUGAAGCGGUGAAAUGCGUAGAUAUUGGAAGGAACACCGAUGGCGAAGGCAUUUUACUAGGCCCUUACUGACACUGAGAGACGAAAGCUAGGGUAGCAAAUGGGAUUAGAUACUCCU